RNAcentral lists this ribosomal RNA (499 nucleotides) under uncultured bacterium. RNAcentral's name for it is "partial 16S ribosomal RNA". It matches the Rfam family "Bacterial small subunit ribosomal RNA", at positions 30 to 523 of the family's 1533-position model. The record is from RNAcentral.
AUUGAACGCUGGCGGAAUGCUUUACACAUGCAAGUCGAACGGCAGCACGGACUUCGGUCUGGUGGCGAGUGGCGAACGGGUGAGUAAUGUAUCGGAACGUGCCCAGUCGUGGGGGAUAACGUAGUGAAAAUUACGCUAAUACCGCAUACGAUCUAGGGAUGAAAGCGGGGGACCGUACGGACUCGCGCGCUUGGAGCGGCCGAUAUCAGAUGAGGUAGUUGGUGGGUAAAGGCUCACCAAGCCGACGAUCUGUAGCUGGUCUGAGAGGACGACCAGCCACACUGGAACUGAGACACGGUCCAGACUCCCACGGGAGGCAGCAGUGGGGAAUUUUGGACAAUGGGCGCAAGCCUGAUCCAGCCAUUCCGCGUGCAGGAUGAAGGCCCUCGGGUUGUAAACUGCUUUUGUACGGAACGAAAAGGCUCUGGUUAAUACCUGGGGCUCAUGACGGUACCGUAAGAAUAAGCACCGGCUAACUACGUGCCAGCCGCCGCAGUAA